This 232-nucleotide long non-coding RNA is filed under the name Homo sapiens (human). RNAcentral describes it as "non-protein coding lnc-ARL15-5:1". The record is from RNAcentral. Lineage: Eukaryota; Metazoa; Chordata; Mammalia; Primates; Hominidae.
CAAUAAUCAAAAUCCAGACUAUUGGAAAUUUAAACAAAUGAGCUGGUUUACUAAAUGGCAAGGUGGAAAAAAGAAAUAGAGGGAGGAAAUCUGUAGAUUAAAAGAAAAAAAAAAAAAUCCAUGGAAAAAUUAGCAAGCAACUUGAACAGGCACUUCACAAAGGAAGAGGAUAUCCAAUUGGUCAGUAAGUUUAUUAGUAGUGAGGUGCAAAUAAAAACUACCAUGAUCUGGC